GAUGAAGAACGCAGCGAAAUGCGAUAAGUAGUGUGAAUUGCAGAAUUCAGUGAAUCAUCGAAUCUUUGAACGCACAUUGCGCCCCUUGGUAUUCUAUGGGGCAUGCCUGUUCGAGCGUCAUUUGUACCUUCAAGCUCUGCUUGGUGUUGGGUGUUUGUCUCGCCUCUGCGUGUAGACUCGCCUCAAAAUAAUUGGCAGCCGGCGUAUUGAUUUCGGAGCGCAGUACAUCUCGCGCUUUGCACUCAUAACGACGACGUCCAAAAGUACAUUUUUACACUCUUGACCUCGGAUCAGGUAGGGAUACCCGCUGAACUUAAGCAUAUCAAUAAGCGGAGGA
This 337-nucleotide unclassified non-coding RNA is filed under the name soil metagenome. Its description in RNAcentral is "partial contains 5.8S ribosomal RNA, internal transcribed spacer 2, and large subunit ribosomal RNA". The stretch from base 1 to 120 matches the Rfam family "5.8S ribosomal RNA", at positions 35 to 154 of the family's 154-position model. The record is from RNAcentral.